UACGUAGGUGGCAAGCGUUGUCCGGAUUUACUGGGCGUAAAGCGCGCGCAGGCGGUCGUUCAAGUCGCGUGUGAAAGCCCCCGGCUCAACUGGGGAGGGUCACGCGAUACUGAUCGACUCGAAGGCAGGAGAGGGAAGUGGAAUUCCCGGUGUAGUGGUGAAAUGCGUAGAUAUCGGGAGGAACACCAGUGGCGAAGGCGGCAUCCUGGACCGAGAUUGACGCUGAUGCGCGAAAGCCAGGGGAGCAAACGGG
Molecule: ribosomal RNA, 253 nt
Filed under: uncultured bacterium
Lineage: Bacteria
Description: partial 16S ribosomal RNA
Rfam family: Bacterial small subunit ribosomal RNA
Source: RNAcentral